UACGUAGGGUGCGAGCGUUGUCCGGAAUUACUGGGCGUAAAGAGCUCGUAGGUGGUUUGUCGCGUUGUUCGUGAAAACCGGGGGCUUAACCCUCGGCGUGCGGGCGAUACGGGCAGACUGGAGUACUGCAGGGGAGACUGGAAUUCCUGGUGUAGCGGUGGAAUGCGCAGAUAUCAGGAGGAACACCGGUGGCGAAGGCGGGUCUCUGGGCAGUAACUGACGCUGAGGAGCGAAAGCGUGGGGAGCGAA
Molecule: ribosomal RNA, 249 nt
Filed under: uncultured bacterium
Lineage: Bacteria
Description: partial 16S ribosomal RNA
Rfam family: Bacterial small subunit ribosomal RNA
Source: RNAcentral